UGGGGAAUAUUGCACAAUGGGCGCAAGCCUGAUGCAGCCAUGCCGCGUGUGUGAAGAAGGCCUUCGGGUUGUAAAGCACUUUCAGCGGGGAGGAAGGCGUUAAGGUUAAUAACCUUGGCGAUUGACGUUACCCGCAGAAGAAGCACCGGCUAACACCGUGCCAGCAGCCGCGGUAAUACGGAGGGUGCAAGCGUUAAUCGGAAUUACUGGGCGUAAAGCGCACGCAGGCGGUCUGUCAAGUCGGAUGUGAAAUCCCCGGGCUCAACCUGGGAACUGCAUUCGAAACUGGCAGGCUAGAGUCUUGGAGAGGGGGGUAGAAUUCCAGGUGUAGCGGUGAAAUGCGUAGAGAUCUGGAGGAAUACCGGUGGCGAAGGCGGCCCCCUGGACAAAGACUGACGCUCAGGUGCGAAAGCGUGGGGAGCAAACAGG
RNAcentral lists this ribosomal RNA (429 nucleotides) under Chloroflexota bacterium. RNAcentral describes it as "Chloroflexi bacterium partial 16S ribosomal RNA". It matches the Rfam family "Bacterial small subunit ribosomal RNA", at positions 355 to 776 of the family's 1533-position model. Lineage: Bacteria; Bacillati; Chloroflexota. The record is from RNAcentral.